RNAcentral lists this ribosomal RNA (450 nucleotides) under uncultured bacterium. RNAcentral's name for it is "partial 16S ribosomal RNA". It matches the Rfam family "Bacterial small subunit ribosomal RNA", at positions 354 to 796 of the family's 1533-position model. The record is from RNAcentral.
GUGGGGAAUUUUGGACAAUGGGCGCAAGCCUGAUCCAGCCAUGCCGCGUGCAGGAUGAAGGCCUUCGGGUUGUAAACUGCUUUUGUACGGAACGAAACGGCUCUUUCUAAUAAAGAGGGCUAAUGACGGUACCGUAAGAAUAAGCACCGGCUAACUACGUGCCAGCAGCCGCGGUAAUACGUAGGGUGCAAGCGUUAAUCGGAAUUACUGGGCGUAAAGCGUGCGCAGGCGGUUAUAUAAGACAGAUGUGAAAUCCCCGGGCUCAACCUGGGAACUGCAUUUGUGACUGUAUAGCUAGAGUACGGCAGAGGGGGAUGGAAUUCCGCGUGUAGCAGUGAAAUGCGUAGAUAUGCGGAGGAACACCGAUGGCGAAGGCAAUCCCCUGGGCCUGUACUGACGCUCAUGCACGAAAGCGUGGGGAGCAAACAGGAUUAGAUACCCUAGUAGUCC